Molecule: ribosomal RNA, 553 nt
Filed under: Bifidobacterium longum subsp. suillum
Lineage: Bacteria; Bacillati; Actinomycetota; Actinomycetes; Bifidobacteriales; Bifidobacteriaceae
Description: bacterial SSU rRNA
Rfam family: Bacterial small subunit ribosomal RNA
Source: RNAcentral
UCUCCUGGAAACGGGUGGUAAUGCCGGAUGCUCCAGUUGAUCGCAUGGUCUUCUGGGAAAGCUUUCGCGGUAUGGGAUGGGGUCGCGUCCUAUCAGCUUGACGGCGGGGUAACGGCCCACCGUGGCUUCGACGGGUAGCCGGCCUGAGAGGGCGACCGGCCACAUUGGGACUGAGAUACGGCCCAGACUCCUACGGGAGGCAGCAGUGGGGAAUAUUGCACAAUGGGCGCAAGCCUGAUGCAGCGACGCCGCGUGAGGGAUGGAGGCCUUCGGGUUGUAAACCUCUUUUAUCGGGGAGCAAGCGAGAGUGAGUUUACCCGUUGAAUAAGCACCGGCUAACUACGUGCCAGCAGCCGCGGUAAUACGUAGGGUGCAAGCGUUAUCCGGAAUUAUUGGGCGUAAAGGGCUCGUAGGCGGUUCGUCGCGUCCGGUGUGAAAGUCCAUCGCUUAACGGUGGAUCCGCGCCGGGUACGGGCGGGCUUGAGUGCGGUAGGGGAGACUGGAAUUCCCGGUGUAACGGUGGAAUGUGUAGAUAUCGGGAAGAACACCAACC